CCAGACUCCUACGGGAGGCAGCAGUGGGGAAUCUUGCGCAAUGGGCGGAAGCCUGACGCAGCGACGCCGCGUGCGGGACGAAGGCCUUCGGGUCGUAAACCGCUUUCAGCAGGGACGAGGCCCUCACGGUGACGGUACCUGCAGAAGAAGCCCCGGCUAACUACGUGCCAGCAGCCGCGGUAAUACGUAGGGUGCGAGCGUUAAUCGGAAUUACUGGGCGUAAAGGGUGUGCAGGCGGCUGAGUAAGACAGAUGUGAAAUCCCCGGGCUUAACCGGGGAACCGCAUAUGUGACUGCUUGGCUAGAGUGCGUCAGAGGGAGGUGGAAUUCCACGUGUAGCAGUGAAAUGCGUAGAUAUGUGGAAGAACACCGAUGGCGAAGGCAGCCUCCUGGGACGCAACUGACGCUCAUACACGAAAGCGUGGGGAGCAAACAGGAUUAGAUACCCCAGUACG
Molecule: ribosomal RNA, 454 nt
Filed under: uncultured bacterium
Lineage: Bacteria
Description: bacterial SSU rRNA
Rfam family: Bacterial small subunit ribosomal RNA
Source: RNAcentral